This 448-nucleotide ribosomal RNA is filed under the name uncultured bacterium. Its description in RNAcentral is "partial 16S ribosomal RNA". It matches the Rfam family "Bacterial small subunit ribosomal RNA", at positions 330 to 793 of the family's 1533-position model. The record is from RNAcentral.
UCCAGACUCCUACGGGAGGCAGCAGUGGGGGAUAUUGCACAAUGGGGGGAACCCUGAUGCAGCGACGCCGCGUGAGCGAUGAAGUAUUUCGGUAUGUAAACUUCUAUCAGCAGGGAAGAAAAUGACGGUACCUGACUAAGAAGCCCCGGCUAACUACGUGCCAGCAGCCGCGGUAAUACGUAGGGGGCAAGCGUUAUCCGGAUUUACUGGGUGUAAAGGGAGCGUAGGCGGUUUAGCAAGUCAGAAGUGAAAGCCCGGGGCUUAACUCCGGGACUGCUUUUGAAACUGUUGAACUAGAUUGCAGGAGAGGUAAGUGGAAUUCCUAGUGUAGCGGUGAAAUGCGUAGAUAUUAGGAGGAACACCAGUGGCGAAGGCGGCUUACUGGACUGUAAAUGACGCUGAGGCUCGAAAGCGUGGGGAGCAAACAGGAUUAGAUACCCCAGUAUCG